Camelus dromedarius (Arabian camel) is the source of this 1928-nucleotide long non-coding RNA. RefSeq lists it as uncharacterized. The transcript is spliced from 3 exons. Lineage: Eukaryota; Metazoa; Chordata; Mammalia; Artiodactyla; Camelidae. The record is from RefSeq and is a predicted model, not a curated record.
CACCGGCCAGAUGCCCAAAAAGAUGUCCUCUGCAUGUGAGGAGUCUGGGAGCUAAGCAAACAAGCACGGACCCUGCUCCCCUCAGAAGAGAGCUGCUGUCCAGAGGAGCUCCCAUCAGGGAAGACAGUGAGCUGCACAAUUUACUAAACCCACAGCUAUUCCCCCCGUGACCUUGGGGUGCCAGGUGCUGUCUGUGCACCAUGGUGGUGACUCGGUUUGCUCAGACACAGACACAGAACAGCUGGGAUAACCAACCAGGACAAAAGAGGAGACAGACUGCCAGCUUCCUAGGAUACCAAGGUGAGAAAGGGCAGUAACAGAAGGGUGUCAGUUACAAGUCAGUAUCACAAGGAGCCAGCCAGGGGGCUGCCUGUGACCAGUGUCAGAGGACCAGCCUAGGUUCUUAGUGCCACUUACAGGAGAGGAAAGGGGGUGAGUGUGCCUGAGGAGAACUGGGAAAGGCUUUACUGAGAGUGGAAAAUGUACCCUGGGAAGUCAGCCACCCUCCCCUGAGCCCUGGCAGAGGGAGCACUGCGAUCUGGAAGUGGAGGAGAAAGUGCGGACCUCAGUGGAAAACUAUGCAUUGUCUACAGGACACCCUUCCUCUUUAUCAGAUUCUGAUCCUAUGGGAGCUGUUCUGCAGCUCUUUGUAAGUUGCAGCUAACUACAGACAUGCUUAUUCAGCCUUGCCGCCCUCCUCCUGCCCACCUCAUGGAAAAAACAGUUUCUUUCCUUUAUUCAAAUUUUGUACUGUUCUGAAUAUUCUCCUGAACCAGUUAUAACAUUUGCCUGGUUCCCUCCUAGGGACAAAAUAGACUAUCUGUAUGACAGUCAUGAGCUUAAUUUUUCCUGAAAAUUAGCCUUUAUUUUUCUCCCUUCGCUGGGAGAAAGCAACCUCCAAAGCAGCCCCAAGCUGGCUGACAUCCCUGCUGGGAGACACUCGCGCCUGGGAUCCGGGAAGGACUGUGGUUGCCCAGCACACAGAGGCAGGCUUCACGCUUCAGUAGCGACCACGGCCACCAUUCAGAGAGCCCCUGCGGCAGCAUAUGGGCCUCUGAGUGCCCUGCUCCAUGCUCAGCAAUCUCACUGGAUCCUACAAAGACCCUGUGUGGUAUCUUUUCUUAUUUCCCUUUACAAAUACAGGAGCUGAGACUCAGAAAGACAAAGCAACUUGCAAGUCACUCACAUAGGAAGGGCUGAGGGAAAAAUCUGAACAAAGUCUGUCUCUUAAUUCCCAGGCAAUCUUACCUUGGCUUUUUUCUUUUUCUUUUUAAAUUGACAUAGAGUUGAUUUACAAUAUUAUAUAAGUUCCAGUGUACAACAUAGUGAUUCACAAUUUUCUAAGGUUAUACUCCAUUUAAAGUUACAAAAUAUUGGCUAUAUUUCCUGUGCUGUAUAAUAUAUCUUUGUAGCUUUUUAAUUUUGUACAUAGCAGUUUCUACCUCUUACUCCCCUGUCCUUGUCUUGCACCUCCCCUCAUCCCUCUCCCCACUGGUAACCACUAAUUUGUUCUCUAUAUCUGUGAGUCUGCUUCUUUUUGCUAUAUUCACUAGCUUGUUUUAUUUUUCAGAUUCCACGUGUAAGUGAUAUCAUACAGUAUUUGUCUUUCUCUCUCUGAUUUACUUCACUAAGCACAAUACCCUCCAAUUCCAUCCAUGUUGUUGUAAAUGGCAAGAUUUCAUUUUUAUGGGCCCUGUCAACCACCAUUCCACUUCCUGUCUCUGUGGGUUUGACCACUCCAGGUACUUCGUAUGAGCAACCAGAAGCAUAAGCAACGCGUGCGUGAUCACAUAGCGAAUGAGAGGCAGCCCUGGCAGGCUGACUGCGGAGUCCUGCACUGCUCACUACAUUCCAGUCAGCCCUGUCCACGUUUGUGGAAGGAAAUUUCUCUGACCACGUAUCUGCACAGAAGAAAUUUUACCUGAGAG